Molecule: long non-coding RNA, 941 nt
Organism: Chiroxiphia lanceolata (lance-tailed manakin)
Lineage: Eukaryota; Metazoa; Chordata; Aves; Passeriformes; Pipridae
Exons: 3
Source: RefSeq, a predicted model, not a curated record
CUCAUUAAGAAACGCUUCCCUCUCUUUAAUCCACUGCCUAAAGCUGUCUGGUUCAGCUUCUGACAGGACAGAUCUAAACCACCCACUUUGGGAAUGGUUCAACCCUCCAGCAGACUGAACUGGGCUCUCUCUCUGCAAGCUCCCAGGACAGAGCAAUGGCCAGGGGACGUUUCUGUGGAAGAUGAGAACAGUCAGAGGCUGAAGCUUCCAGUGCCUUCUCCCUACACUCUCACCAGGUUGGCUGGGAUUAGUUCCCUGUGGAAUUACGUUUCUGAGGUGUGGAGCCCAGCUUUCUCUGGGACCACAGUCCAACAAACACUUUAAGUGGGGAGGAGCUGGCUUUGCUGCUGGUCUGACUCGGUGUGACUGCAGGGUGAACCACCCCAGGGACCCAGAGGAAGGCUGGAUUCCAUCCAACCACUAUCCCAAGUGCCCUGGACAUCAGGCUGGGACAAAGGAAGGGCCAGCACAGGAAAAGGAAUGAGCCAAAAAGAUCCCAUCACAACAGGAGCACGAAUUCCUGACUUCAACACAUUUGUUCAGAUGGCUGCAGGAAAUGUGACUACAAAGGGAAGGGGAAGGAGGAGGUGUCCACGUCCUAAUGGACACCAGGCUGUGAGCCAGUGGGAAAAAAUGAAGGAAUGUUGGAUUUCUACCCUAAACAUCUCACAGAAAAUGGAGAUGAACUUCACUGAGCUGUGAAAGGGACUGGGUGCAUAUCUGGAAUUCCUUCACACACAAGAUGAGCAGUUGUCCCAUUCAGCCAGUGAAAACAGGGAUCUAAGAGCCCCUUUCCUGCAGACACUGUGCUCAGCACCUGCACACACCCAGCUCCCCCAGCCCCCUCAGAACUGCUGAAUGGAGCUCUCACCUUCUUCAAAGUCAAUACCAGAAACUCUUUCAGGCUGCUCAAGGCUGCUUUCAGACUGGGGUUACAUUUC